GAUCAUGGCUCAGGAUGAACGCUAGCUACAGGCUUAACACAUGCAAGUCGAGGGGCAGCAUGAUUCUAGCUUGCUAGAAUUGAUGGCGACCGGCGCACGGGUGAGUAACGCGUAUCCAACCUUCCCUAUAGUAGAGGAUAGCCCGGCGAAAAGUCGGAUUAAUACUCUAUGUUGUUCAAUGCGGACAUCUAAGUUGAACCAAAGGUUUACCGCUAUAGGAUGGGGAUGCGUCUGAUUAGAUGGUAGGCGGGGUAACGGCCCACCUAGUCGACGAUCAGUAGGGGUUCUGAGAGGAAGGUCCCCCACAUUGGAACUGAGACACGGUCCAAACUCCUACGGGAGGCAGCAGUGGGGAAUAUUGGUCAAUGGGCGAGAGCCUGAACCAGCCAAGUAGCGUGCAGGAUGACGGCCCUAUGGGUUGUAAACUGCUUUUAUAUAGGGAUAAAGUGCACCACGUGUGGUGUUUUGUAGGUACUAUAUGAAUAAGGACCGGCUAAUUCCGUGCCAGCCGCCGC
RNAcentral lists this ribosomal RNA (515 nucleotides) under uncultured bacterium. RNAcentral's name for it is "bacterial SSU rRNA". It matches the Rfam family "Bacterial small subunit ribosomal RNA", at positions 15 to 518 of the family's 1533-position model. The record is from RNAcentral.